This 252-nucleotide ribosomal RNA is filed under the name uncultured bacterium. RNAcentral's name for it is "partial 16S ribosomal RNA". It matches the Rfam family "Bacterial small subunit ribosomal RNA", at positions 524 to 776 of the family's 1533-position model. The record is from RNAcentral.
UACGUAGGGUGCAAGCGUUGUCCGGAAUUAUUGGGCGUAAAGAGCUCGUAGGCGGUCUGUCACGUCGGCUGUGAAAUCCCGAGGCUCAACCUCGGGUCUGCAGUCGAUACGGGCAAACUAGAGUAUUGCAGGGGAGACUGGAAUUCCUGGUGUAGCGGUGAAAUGCGCAGAUAUCAGGAGGAACACCGGUGGCGAAGGCGGGUCUCUGGGCCGUAACUGACGCUGAGGAGCGAAAGCGUGGGAGCGAACAGG